Glycine soja is the source of this 1389-nucleotide RNA transcript. RefSeq lists it as uncharacterized. The record is from RefSeq and is a predicted model, not a curated record. NCBI's taxonomy places the organism in Eukaryota, Viridiplantae, Streptophyta, Magnoliopsida, Fabales, Fabaceae. The transcript has 8 exons.
CCCUCACACACAAGUACCCCCCUCUCUCUCUCUCGCAAAUCCUAAGUCUCGCCGUCACCCUCGCACGCAACGUCGCUUUCUUCACUUUUACUUUUACUUCGAGGGAGGCCCAAUUCUCGAGGCCCGGCAGAGGGAGCCGAGGAGGCCGCCAAUCCUGCCCGUGCGGCCGUAGAUGAGGAAGUUUAGGGGCUGGGCCGGUGUGGCGCCCUUGGCUGGGAAGCCCCAACACAUAUUUCCUACAUCUGGAGCUGCUUAAUUUUAUGAUUAUUGCAAUCUCAACUUAGCUUCUUUGUGGGCCAUCUCCUAGACCGAAUGAUAUGAACCCAUUUCUUGGUGCGGCAAUGGCUCAGCAAAUAUUGUGUUAUUUCCAUUCAGUUAUUUGAUCAAUUCAAGCAGUGAAGGUUCAAGAAAUCCAAUAGCAGAUAGCAGUCUUCAAGUGCUUCUUGUUCUCAUUCAUUAUCAUAAAUGUCUUGUGAGUGAGGGCUACUCUGUCCUAAAGAAUCAAGUAUCUGCCUCUUCAGAUUCUUUACCAAAAGAGAAUACAUAUUUUUCUAACAACCCUUACUGCAGGGCCUUAGAGCGUGCAACUGAUUGUGAAUUGGAUUGUGUAGAUUUAGAGGGUAAUGCACACAGUGACCAACUUGUAAAAUUGCCUUUUGCACCGUUGUUUGAUACCCUUGGCAUCCUCAUACUAGAUGAACAAAUUUGGUGUUGAUUUAUUCUGUUGAUCACACUAGCAACUCUAUCCAGCAACAUCACAACCAAGAAUGUUGUGUCCUAUUGAAAUUUUAGGCAAAGGGAGCAAAAAAGUACUUGGAAUGAUUUGCAAUGGCCCAACCAGGCUUCAGCGUUUGCUCACUCUCCUAGAGACUGGGUCAACCCAAGCAACAAGGUUGACUGCUGCUCGUCAGAUAGCAAAAUCACACCCUCAACACUUGACCAGUCUUCUUAAGAAGCUUUGAUAUGAACAAGGUGCUUGAAUUUGGAGCCUUAUUAGCAUCAGGAGGACAGGAACUAGACAAUACAUGUCACGAAAACAAUUGGGUUCUACCAGCUUAUCAUUUAUACCAUGCAGAUGGUAAGACUAUCAAAUUUAGCCAAAAUACAUGAGCAGCAUAAAUUCUCUUCAUGAAUCAAGUUAUGGACUAUUAAAUUUAAUUUAAUUAGGUAUAAUUAGGAUUUAACCAUUGCACUUUUUUGUUGACCUUAUUAAUGGCCAGCAGUUAUUCAUGUGUCAAUUGUAAUUUGCGUGAAAUGAUCUCAUUAAUUGUGCACAAGUGUGUGCAUAUAUUAUUUGAGAGUUCUCCGUAAUUUAAUUUGACUUCUUUAAUUUUACUUCUUGGAUAAGAUAUUUCAAAUAACUUACAAUAUUCCAUAUGCCUUAAUUUC